GAUGAACGCUGGCGGCGUGCUUAACACAUGCAAGUCGAACGGGAAUUACUUUAUUGAAACUUCGGGCGAUUUAAUUUAAUUCUAGUGUCGGACGGGUGAGUAACGCGUGGGUAACCUGCCUUAUACAGGGGGAUAACAGUCAGAAAUGGCUGCUAAUACCGCAUAAGCGCACAGAGCUGCAUGGCUCGGUGUGAAAAACUCCGGUGGUAUAAGAUGGACCCGCGUUGGAUUAGCUUGUUGGUGGGGUAACGGCCCACCAAGGCGACGAUCCAUAGCCGGCCUGAGAGGGUGAACGGCCACAUUGGGACUGAGACACGGCCCAGACUCCUACGGGAGGCAGCAGUGGGGAAUAUUGCACAAUGGGGGAAACCCUGAUGCAGCGACGCCGCGUGAAGGAAGAAGUAUCUCGGUAUGUAAACUUCUAUCAGCAGGGAAGAUAGUGACGGUACCUGAAUAAGAAGCCCCGGCUAACUACGUG
RNAcentral lists this ribosomal RNA (478 nucleotides) under uncultured bacterium. Its description in RNAcentral is "partial 16S ribosomal RNA". It matches the Rfam family "Bacterial small subunit ribosomal RNA", at positions 28 to 507 of the family's 1533-position model. The record is from RNAcentral.